GACAGAGGUGGCAAGCGUUAAUCGGAAUUAUUGGGCGUAAAGAGCGUGUAGGCGGCAGAAUAAGUCAGAUGUGAAAGCCCUGGGCUUAACUCAGGAAGUGCAUUUGAUACUGUUUUGCUUGAGUACUGGAGAGGGAAGAGGAAUUCCUGGUGUAGAGGUGAAAUUCGUAGAUAUCAGGAGGAACACCGGUGGCGAAGGCGACUUCCUGGCCAGAUACUGACGCCGAGACGCGAGAGCGUGGGGAGCAAACAGGAUUAGAAACCCUAGUAGU
This 271-nucleotide ribosomal RNA is filed under the name uncultured bacterium. RNAcentral describes it as "partial 16S ribosomal RNA". It matches the Rfam family "Bacterial small subunit ribosomal RNA", at positions 524 to 794 of the family's 1533-position model. The record is from RNAcentral.